This 496-nucleotide ribosomal RNA is filed under the name uncultured bacterium. RNAcentral's name for it is "partial 16S ribosomal RNA". It matches the Rfam family "Bacterial small subunit ribosomal RNA", at positions 28 to 506 of the family's 1533-position model. The record is from RNAcentral.
GAUGAACGCUGGCGGCGUGCCUAAUACAUGCAAGUCGAGCGAACAGACGAGGAGCUUGCUCCUCUGACGUUAGCGGCGGACGGGUGAGUAACACGUGGAUAACCUACCUAUAAGACUGGGAUAACUUCGGGAAACCGGAGCUAAUACCGGAUAAUAUAUUGAACCGCAUGGUUCAAUAGUGAAAGACGGUUUUGCUGUCACUUAUAGAUGGAUCCGCGCCGCAUUAGCUAGUUGGUAAGGUAACGGCUUACCAAGGCAACGAUGCGUAGCCGACCUGAGAGGGUGAUCGGCCACACUGGAACUGAGACACGGUCCAGACUCCUACGGGAGGCAGCAGUAGGGAAUCUUCCGCAAUGGGCGAAAGCCUGACGGAGCAACGCCGCGUGAGUGAUGAAGGUCUUCGGAUCGUAAAACUCUGUCAUUAGGGAAGAACAAAUGUGUAAGUAACUAUGCACGUCUUGACGGUACCUAAUCAGAAAGCCACGGCGAACUACGU